RNAcentral lists this unclassified non-coding RNA (71 nucleotides) under soil metagenome. RNAcentral describes it as "partial internal transcribed spacer 1". The record is from RNAcentral.
UUGAUUUUAGUUAUUUGUGAACGUACUACGAACAAACCAAAAAUAUAUUAUAGUCAAAAAAAAAUUAAAUC